RNAcentral lists this ribosomal RNA (733 nucleotides) under uncultured Propionibacterium sp. Its description in RNAcentral is "bacterial SSU rRNA". It matches the Rfam family "Bacterial small subunit ribosomal RNA", at positions 648 to 1381 of the family's 1533-position model. The record is from RNAcentral. Lineage: Bacteria; Bacillati; Actinomycetota; Actinomycetes; Propionibacteriales; Propionibacteriaceae.
AAGGUAGGGGAGAAUGGAAUUCCUGGUGGAGCGGUGGAAUGCGCAGAUAUCAGGAGGAACACCAGUGGCGAAGGCGGUUCUCUGGGCCUUUCCUGACGCUGAGGAGCGAAAGCGUGGGGAGCGAACAGGCUUAGAUACCCUGGUAGUCCACGCUGUAAACGGUGGGUACUAGGUGUGGGGUCCUUCCAGGGUUCCGUGCCGUAGCUAACGCUUUAAGUACCCCGCCUGGGGAGUACGGCCGCAAGGCUAAAACUCAAAGGAAUUGACGGGGCCCCGCACAAGCGGCGGAGCAUGCGGAUUAAUUCGAUGCAACGCGUAGAACCUUACCUGGGUUUGACAUGAUCGGGAGUGCUCAGAGAUGGGUGUGCCUCUUUUGGGGUCGGUUCACAGGUGGUGCAUGGCUGUCGUCAGCUCGUGUCGUGAGAUGUUGGGUUAAGUCCCGCAACGAGCGCAACCCUUGUUCACUGUUGCCAGCACGUUAUGGUGGGGACUCAGUGGAGACCGCCGGGGUCAACUCGGAGGAAGGUGGGGAUGACGUCAAGUCAUCAUGCCCCUUAUGUCCAGGGCUUCACGCAUGCUACAAUGGCUGGUACAGAGAGUGGCGAGCCUGUGAGGGUGAGCGAAUCUCGGAAAGCCGGUCUCAGUUCGGAUUGGGGUCUGCAACUCGACCUCAUGAAGUCGGAGUCGCUAGUAAUCGCAGAUCAGCACGCUGCGGGAAUACGUUCCCGGGGCU